This 689-nucleotide ribosomal RNA is filed under the name Thalassiosira hyalina. Its description in RNAcentral is "eukaryotic LSU rRNA". The stretch from base 228 to 382 matches the Rfam family "5.8S ribosomal RNA". The record is from RNAcentral. Lineage: Eukaryota; Bacillariophyta; Thalassiosirophyceae; Thalassiosirales; Thalassiosiraceae.
CCAAACCUUACGUCCCCGAGAAUCGGCAAAAGGCUGACGGAUGCCUUUACUGGCGUCCCGAUUCCCGCUGCCAAAACCAAUAUAAAUCAAAAACCUAGGUGCCUCGGCAGGCCGCCGACUUCGGUCGGAGGCUAGCCUUGGUGCCGCCCAAUACCAAAUGAAAACUAAACUGAACCCAAACUGCCGCUGGAGCCCCUCGGGGUUCUUUCGGUUGUAAAAUCUAUUACAACUUUCAGCAAUGGAUGUCUUGGAUCCCACAACGAUGAAGAACGCAGCGAAAUGCGAUACGUAAUGCGAAUUGCAGGACCUCGUGAAUCAUCAAAAUUUUGAACGCACAUUGCGCUUUUGGGUCAUGCCCAAGAGCAUGCUUAUCUGAGUGUCCCUAAACCCCACUCAGCGACUGCUAUUGCCUCACGGCGAUGGCGGUUAGCUGGACUAUGACUUUGCAUGGCUCUGCCGUGCUCUGUUGAAAUUCAUCAGUUUGUUGUUGUACUUAGGCAGUCUCGGCUGCGGGUCCGAUGCGAGCGCAACUUAAGGAUUUGGUAGAUGCAUUUACUUGUGUUCUUUAUCCGGUUUGCGGGAGCGGAAGCCAACUAGGUUGACGAUGAAAUGGGUCUGCUGGCUAGCGCCGGACAGCACCCGCAAUGAAUGUCCAUUCUAUAUGGAUCUCAGAUUAAGUAAGACUACCC